This 253-nucleotide ribosomal RNA is filed under the name uncultured bacterium. RNAcentral's name for it is "partial 16S ribosomal RNA". It matches the Rfam family "Bacterial small subunit ribosomal RNA", at positions 524 to 776 of the family's 1533-position model. The record is from RNAcentral.
UACAGAGGGGGCGAGCGUUAUUCGGAAUUAUUGGGCGUAAAGCGCGUGUAGGCAGCCACGCAGGUCCGCUGUGAAAACUCGAGGCUCAACCUCGAGCUGUCGGUGGAAACCGCGUGGCUAGAGUCAGGAAGAGGGGACUGGAAUUCCCGGUGUAGCGGUGGAAUGCGCAGAUAUCGGGAGGAACGCCCGUGGCGAAGGCGGGUCCCUGGGACGGUACUGACGCUGAGACGCGAAAGCGUGAGGAGCGAACAGG